RNAcentral lists this ribosomal RNA (447 nucleotides) under uncultured bacterium. Its description in RNAcentral is "partial 16S ribosomal RNA". It matches the Rfam family "Bacterial small subunit ribosomal RNA", at positions 29 to 523 of the family's 1533-position model. The record is from RNAcentral.
AACGAACGCUGGCGGCAGGCCUAAAACAUGCAAGUCGAACGAACCUUCGGGUUAGUGGCGCACGGGUGCGUAACGCGUGGGAAUAUGCCUCUUGGUGCGGAACAACGUCUGGAAACGGACGCUAAUACCGCAUAAUAUCUACGGAACAAAGAUUUAUCGCCAAGAGAUUAGCCCGCGUCUGAUUAGCUAGUUGGUGAGGUAAUGGCUCACCAAGGCGACGAUCAGUAGCUGGUCUGAGAGGAUGAUCAGCCACACUGAAACUGAGACACGGUCCAGACUCCUACGGGAGGCAGCAGUUGGGAAUAUUGGACAAUGGGGGAAACCCUGAUCCAGCCAUGCCGCGUGUGUGAAGAAGGCCUUAGGGUUGUAAAGCACUUUCGGCUGUGAAGAUAAUGACAGUAGCAGAAGAAGAAGCUCCGGCUAAAUUCGUGCCAGCCGCCGCAGUAA